UCUGACUGUGCAAAGGUAGCAUAAUCAUUAGUUUUUUAAUUAAAAGCUUGUAUGAAGGGUUGGACGAGGUAAAAUCUGUCUCUAUUUAAAUUAUUGUAGAAUUUAAUUUUUAAGUUAAAAAGCUUAAAUUUAUUUAAAAGACGAGAAGACCCUAUAGAUCUUUAUAUAAAUUUUAAUAGUUUUAAUUAAGAAUAUUUUAUUUAUUAUUAUUAUUUAUAUUUUAUUGGGGUAAUAAAAAGAUUAAAUUAAUUCUUUUUUUAUUUAAACAUUUAUUUAUGAUUAAAUGAUCCAAUAUUUUUGAUUAAAAGAUUAAGUUACCUUAGGGAUAACAGCGUAAUUUUUUUAGAGAGUUCAUAUCGAUAAAAAAGUUUGCGACCUCGAUGUUGGAUUAAAAAUUAUCUUAGGUGCAGAAGUUUAAGAUUUUGGUCUGUUCGACCAUUAAAUUUUUACAUGAUCUGAGUUCAGACCGGUGUAAGCCAGGUCGGUUUCUAUCUUUAAUUAAUUUUAAUAUUUUAGUACGAAAGGACCAAAUAUUUAAUAUAUUUAUAUUUAAUUUUUUGAAUAUUAUUAAUUACUUUGGCAGAAUAGUGUAAUGAAUUUAGAAUUCAUAAAUGUAAAUUUUUUACAAGUAAUAUUGUUUUAUAUAGAUAUAAUAUUUUCUUUAAUUUGUAUU
Molecule: ribosomal RNA, 673 nt
Filed under: Rhantus andinus
Lineage: Eukaryota; Metazoa; Arthropoda; Insecta; Coleoptera; Dytiscidae
Description: partial 16S ribosomal RNA
Rfam family: Bacterial large subunit ribosomal RNA (bases 1-519)
Source: RNAcentral